This is a long non-coding RNA of Cyprinus carpio carpio, 618 nucleotides long. Lineage: Eukaryota; Metazoa; Chordata; Actinopteri; Cypriniformes; Cyprinidae. The record is from Ensembl.
AUUUUCGUGCAUGUACGUGAAACACAGCUCGAGGGCUGUUGAUUUUUUUACGAUAGGUGGCGCUGUCGAGCCAUUUUGCCACACCCUCUUCUGAAACCUAUAUCAGACGUAAAUUUUCACCAGGUCUGACGCGUGUGCAAAGUUUCAGGACUUUUCGAGCAUGUUUAGGCCCUCAAAAAUGCGAUUCAUUUUGGAGAAGAAGAAGAAGAAGAAGAAGAAGAAGAAGAAGAAGAAGAAGAAGAAGAAGAAUAAUAAUAAUAAACGAAGCAGAUACAAGAGGGUCCUCACACCAUCGGUGCUCGGGCCCUAAUUAAAGCUGCAAGCAGCGAUGAACGGGCCCUCGCACCCGGGCUCACCACCACCGGGUGGCUUUUGUAAAACAGCGAACGGCGAGAAAUAUGCGUUUAAUGUGGUAAAUAUAAGAGGAAUAUGUCAAAGUCAUUUAUAUGUGCCAAUCUUCCUGCUGCCAGCUGGUGGCGCUAUGACUAUAACUGAAUAUGGGCAUGUCAAUCUGUUCAGGUCAUGAGUCUUAUCAAACAUGUGAAGUUUGUGGCAGAUUGGACAUUGUAUGUCUGAGUUAUAGCAACUUCAUUUUUCAUGGCGAAUCAUCGAAAUUCG